Molecule: ribosomal RNA, 645 nt
Filed under: uncultured Phialophora
Lineage: Eukaryota; Fungi; Ascomycota; Leotiomycetes
Description: eukaryotic LSU rRNA
Rfam family: 5.8S ribosomal RNA (bases 276-429)
Source: RNAcentral
CUUGGUCAUUUAGAGGAAGUAAAAGUCGUAACAAGGUUUCCGUAGGUGAACCUGCGGAAGGAUCAUUACAAUCGAUCCGCGGUUGCAAAACCGCGGUGGUGGUCGGCGGCCCCCCCGGGCCGCCGGCCGCCGCGUGUCGACACCCGUGCCUACCGUACCUUCGUUGCUUUGGCGGGGCGCCCUGCCCGGCCGGCGGCCCCUGGGCCGCCGCGCCCCCGCCAGAGAACCACAACUCGUGUCGUGUCAGUGUCGUCUGAGUACUAUGUAAUCGUGAAAACUUUCAACAACGGAUCUCUUGGUUCUGGCAUCGAUGAAGAACGCAGCGAAAUGCGAUAAGUAAUGUGAAUUGCAGAAUUCAGUGAAUCAUCGAAUCUUUGAACGCACAUUGCGCCCUUUGGCAUUCCGAAGGGCAUGCCUGUUCGAGCGUCAUUGCAACCUCUCAAGCUCGCGCUUGGUCUUGGGGCGCCCGGCACCGGGGCCCUCAAAGUCAGUGGCGGUGCCCGCCGGCGUCUGCGCGUAGUCACACUCCUCGCGCCUGACCCCGGCGGGUGGCUGGCCAGCAACCCCCCAUCGUACACAGGUUGACCUCGGAUCAGGUAGGGAUACCCGCUGAACUUAAGCAUAUCAAUAAGCGGAGGAAAUGUC